UGAAGACAUAGAGUCCACUCCUCAGCCAAGAAGGAUCGCUUCCCAGCGACUUCUUUCUGCAAUGGAUGACUUGUUUAUCUGCAGCUCAUUGAAAGUAUUUCCUCUAACAUCCAUGUCAUUCUGGAUGAUGAAAAGAAUUUCAGGUGAUGGACGCCAUGUUUUCUGGCAGCUUCCACAUCCUUCAAGAGUUUGCCUUUCCUGACAUCUUCAGCAGUCAGCACUGAUCUAAGGGGCUCUUCUCUAUUAGGUGGCAUCUCACAUAUGUUCACACUCCAACAACUGCAGGAUGCAUGUACUUUGGACCCAACAGACAUUCUUUCAGUAUCACCUGAAGACCUCAUCCCUUGAAUUGGUGCUUUGAUGUCCUAAAGAGACCAGCUGUCCACCAUCAUGUAGCAACACCUCCAAUGCUGCAUCUGUCGAACUUGGACUAUGUUCCUGAAUUUGCAACUGCACUGUGGUUCCACUUGACUCCUGUUGAUUUAGCGAAGCAAAACUUUAGAUCAUUGCUCAUUCUCAAGCACUUACAGCAGUAGAGAAAGUUGCCUGUCUGUUGUGCAGGAAUGCACUAUGAGAAUGGCAAAGUCUGUUAAGACAUUCUGUAAGGAAAACACAUCUGCUGUAAAUUGGCUGUACUUGUCACAGAAAACUGCAUCAGCACACAACAUUUGUUUUGUGCUGCCUUAUAGUGAAGAUGAUGUCCAGAUUCUAUAAUGAUUAUAAAUUCUUGGCAUGCUUGUGGGAUGCAAUCAAUGUGAAAAACAUGUUCACAGGUCAAUUCCUUUAAUUGGCUUUUCAAUUUCAGUUUCACAUUUGCUUUUAUCAUCAAUUCCAACAGCAAUUAUUUCUGUGUGAACAACUGCCCAUUUCCUGCUCCCUUUAGGUGUUUAAUAGUCAUUGCUAUUGUUCAAACUUGAACAGAUAAAUGACUACAAUUUUCACUUUGAAGAGGGAAUUUCCCUAUUGUUACAUGUUGCUAUUUCAUAAGGAUGAUAUAAAAUGGGAAGGAACAUUUCCAUUUGGCUUGUGCCGGUAGUUUUACAGAGCCAUGAGUGGUGGGUAUCAUCCCAUUUGUACUGUACGCCGCAAAUACACAUUCCCACACCGCUGCAAGAGUUCUUCACAUAAAAUACUUACGUAAUUUCCAAUUAUUUGAAAGCACUAGCAGGAACAACCACCUCUUCAUUUUUGAAAAUUUUCAGAUAAGACCUUUUAAACGCAUCUUGACACAACAUUGGAGCUAUAAGGUUAAGGAGGAAACACAAAUUGUACGCAAGCAUGCAGAUUCUCAAAAUGCAAUUCUGGGAGCUCUGCCUGCUUUUAGAAGCUCACAGAUACUUCCACCUUUACAUCACAAUGAAAUGGAAACUGAUUUGCAGUGAUGUAAAAUCACCCUAAGGUGGCUUAUGCUCUAUAUGGCCAGUCAAAAUACUGUACAUUCAAAUAAUUUAAUUACAUUUACAUAAACUGGGAUAUGUUAUUUUGAAUUGAAUAUAAACAAUUCUACAUUCAAACAAUACACAAGUGUAAGUAGAGGAUACCUCAACAGUGAGUGAUCACAAUAUAUCUAUGUUAACAGAUGUUUUGUUGAAAUUGUGUUUUACAUUGCUAAGGAUUUCUGCAAAGUGCAAAUUAAAUGUGGUUGUAAAAUACGGACAGUUUUAGUUACAUAGUUGUUCAAUUUAAAUGGAAAGCAAAACUAUGUUUUACAAAAAGGUGAAUGGACAUCCAGUUAUACCUAAGAUGGAUUAAAGUGGUGAAAAAACCCAUGGAAGUAGAAUUUAUGUUAUUUCCCCCAUGGUAUCAGCUCUGAAAUAUUAACAAGGUAAUGAUUGAUUUUUCCCACUCCUGUAUCAGCCUGAGGAGGGAGAGUAUUGAUUUUCAUUUUAAGCAAUUGAGUGUGCUACUUGUUUAAGAACAGGAUGUG
Long non-coding RNA from Pristis pectinata (smalltooth sawfish), 1927 nucleotides. RefSeq lists it as uncharacterized. Lineage: Eukaryota; Metazoa; Chordata; Chondrichthyes; Rhinopristiformes; Pristidae. The transcript is spliced from 3 exons. The record is from RefSeq and is a predicted model, not a curated record.